Molecule: ribosomal RNA, 254 nt
Filed under: uncultured bacterium
Lineage: Bacteria
Description: partial 16S ribosomal RNA
Rfam family: Bacterial small subunit ribosomal RNA
Source: RNAcentral
UACAGAGGGUGCAAGCGUUGUUCGGAAUUAUUGGGCGUAAAGCGCGCGCAGGCGGCUAUCCAAGUCAGUGGUGAAAGCCCGGAGCUCAACUCCGGAACUGCCAUUGAAACUGUUUAGCUUGAGGACGAGAGAGGUGAGUGGAAUUCCCAGUGUAGAGGUGAAAUUCGUAGAUAUUGGGAAGAACACCGGUGGCGAAGGCGGCUCACUGGCUCGUAUCUGACGCUCAGGCGCGAUAGCGUGGGGGAUCAAACAGG